RNAcentral lists this microRNA precursor (95 nucleotides) under Caenorhabditis briggsae. RNAcentral's name for it is "miRNA-sblock26". The record is from RNAcentral. Lineage: Eukaryota; Metazoa; Nematoda; Chromadorea; Rhabditida; Rhabditidae.
GAACUCACCAUCUAUGACACUGUUUAAAUGAAACAGGACUUUCUCUAACACACCGGGUUCCUGCUCAUUUCAGUGUCAUUGAUUGGUUUGAUUCU